RNAcentral lists this non-coding RNA (29 nucleotides) under Homo sapiens (human). The record is from RNAcentral. Lineage: Eukaryota; Metazoa; Chordata; Mammalia; Primates; Hominidae.
UGUUUUACCCCAGAGAAACCUGAGCCAGC